GAUGAACGCUAGCUACAGGCUUAANACAUGCAAGUCGAGGGGCAGCAGGGAUUUAGCUUGCUAAAUCCGGCUGGCGACCGGCGCACGGGUGCGUAACGCGUAUCCAACUUUCCCGUUACUCAGGGAUAGCCUUCCGAAAGGGAGAUUAAUACCUGAUGGUGUUUGAAAUUCGCAUGUUCUUCAAACUAAAGAUUUAUCGGUAACGGAUAGGGAUGCGUGACAUUAGAUAGUAGGCGGGGUAACGGCCCACCUAGUCUACGAUGUCUAGGGGUUCUGAGAGGAAGGUCCCCCACACUGGAACUGAGACACGGUCCAGACUCCUACGGGAGGCAGCAGUGAGGAAUAUUGGUCAAUGGUCGGAAGACUGAACCAGCCAAGUAGCGUGAAGGAUGAAGGUUUUCGGAUUGUAAACUCCUUUUAUCAGGGACGAUAAUGACGGUACCUGAAGAAAAAGCUCCGGCUAACUACGUG
Molecule: ribosomal RNA, 471 nt
Filed under: uncultured bacterium
Lineage: Bacteria
Description: bacterial SSU rRNA
Rfam family: Bacterial small subunit ribosomal RNA
Source: RNAcentral